AAAAAGGCCCUUUUCAGGGCCCCCCAACUUUUCAUUAAAAAAGCUGU
Monodelphis domestica (gray short-tailed opossum) is the source of this 47-nucleotide regulatory RNA element. It matches the Rfam family "Histone 3' UTR stem-loop". From Rfam's summary of the family: The mRNAs of metazoan histone genes lack a poly-A tail. 3' end processing occurs at a site between a highly conserved stem-loop (modelled by this family) and a purine rich region around 20 nts downstream (the histone downstream element, or HDE). The record is from Rfam. NCBI's taxonomy places the organism in Eukaryota, Metazoa, Chordata, Mammalia, Didelphimorphia, Didelphidae.